GGCGCUGUGGGAUGAACCAAACGUUCGGUUAAGGCGCCCAACGAUGAGGAGUCUCGCCGAUGAGAAACCAUGAAAGGUGUGGUCCGAUAGAGACAGCAGGACAGUGACCCUGGAAGUAGGCAUCUGCCAAGGAGUGUGUAACAACUCACCUGCCGAAUUGGCCUGCCCUGAAAAUGGAUGGCGCUGGAGCGAGCGGCCGAUACCGAACCGUCGGGGCAACAACGAGCCGCGUCUCAAUCAAGCCCCGACGAGUAGGAGGGCGCCGGGGUGAGCACGGAAGCCUGUGGCGCGAGCCAAGGUGGAGCCGCUCCGGGUGCAGAUCUUGGUGGUAGUAGCAAAUAUUCAAUUGCGAUCUUUGAAGACUGAAGUGGGGAAGGGUUCCAUGUGAACGUUGCUCGGCCAUGGGUGAGUCGGUCCUAAGUUGAAGGUUAACCCCGUCUGAAUGGCGCCUCGUUUUUAUUCUGCGCGCGCGCCUGCCUUCGAAAGGGAACCUGAUCAACAUUUCAGGGCCUGGUCUCGGAAAAGUGUCGUUGCCCUCUGGGCAGCGACGGUGCGGCAACGCAAGUUUAGUCGGCUACGUCCUCGAGGGUCGCGGGAAGAGUUUUCUUUUCUUUCUGCGGGUGCGAGUUCCCUGGAGAAGGUUGCGUUUGGUGGGGAGAAAGGGACUGCGCACGGCUAACCCCUGUACCUCAAAGCAUCGUGACGGGCUCGCGGUGUCCGACGCGCUCUCGAGGAACCUUG
Molecule: ribosomal RNA, 741 nt
Filed under: Zeidora sp. MNHN IM 2013-7769
Lineage: Eukaryota; Metazoa; Mollusca; Gastropoda; Lepetellida; Fissurellidae
Description: partial large subunit ribosomal RNA
Rfam family: Eukaryotic large subunit ribosomal RNA
Source: RNAcentral